AGAGUUUGAUCAUGGCUCAGGACGAACGCUGGCGGCGUGCUUAACACAUGCAAGUCGAACGAUGAAGCCCUUCGGGGUGGAUUAGUGGCGAACGGGUGAGGAACACGUGAAGAAUCUGCCCUCCACUUUGGGAUAACUCCGGGAAACCGGGGCUAAUACCGAAUAUUGAAACAUAAGUGGCAUCACUGAGUUUUGAAAGAAUUUCGGUGGGGGAUGACUUCGCGGCCUAUCAGCUUGUUGGUGAGGUAAUGGCUCACCAAGGCGACGACGGGUAGCCGGCCUGAGAGGGCGACCGGCCACACUGGGACUGAGACACGGCCCAGACUCCUACGGGAGGCAGCAGUGGGGAAUAUUGGGCAAUGGACGCAAGUCUGACCCAGCGACGCCGCGUGCGGGAUGAAGGCCUUCGGGUUGUAAACCGCUUUCAGCAGGGAAGAAGCGAAAGUGACGGUACCUGCAAAAGAAGCACCGGCUAACUAUGUGCCAGCAGCCGCGGUAAUACAUAGGGUGCAAGCGUUGUCCGGAAUUAUUGGGCGUAAAGAGCUCGUAGGUGGUUAGUUACGUCGGGUGUGAAAAUCUGGGGCUCAACCCCAGACCUGCACUCGAUACGGGCUAGCUAGAGUUUGGUAGGGGAGACUGGAAUUCCUGGUGUAGCGGUGGAAUGCGCAGAUAUCAGAGGAACACCAAUGGCGAAAGGCAGGUCUCUGGGCCAAUACUGACACUGAGGAGCGAAAGCGCGGGGAGCGAACAGGAUUAGAUACCCUGGUAGUCCACGCCCUAAACG
This 784-nucleotide ribosomal RNA is filed under the name uncultured bacterium. Its description in RNAcentral is "bacterial SSU rRNA". It matches the Rfam family "Bacterial small subunit ribosomal RNA", at positions 8 to 808 of the family's 1533-position model. The record is from RNAcentral.